RNAcentral lists this transfer RNA (65 nucleotides) under Oedipina poelzi (quarry worm salamander). RNAcentral's name for it is "tRNA-Gly". The record is from RNAcentral. Lineage: Eukaryota; Metazoa; Chordata; Amphibia; Caudata; Plethodontidae.
GUCUUUUUAGUAUAAAAAUAUAAAUGACUUCCAAUCAUUAGAUCUUAGAUAUCUAAGAAAAGACA